Molecule: ribosomal RNA, 398 nt
Filed under: uncultured bacterium
Lineage: Bacteria
Description: partial 16S ribosomal RNA
Rfam family: Bacterial small subunit ribosomal RNA
Source: RNAcentral
AUCUUGCACAAUGGUGGAAACCCUGAUGCAGCGACGCCGCGUGAGUGUAGAAGUAUUUCGGUAUGUAAAGCUCUAUCAUCAGGGAAGAAAAUGACGGUACCUGACUAAGAAGCCCCGUCUAACUACGUGCCAGCAGCCGCGGCAAUACGUAGGGGGCAAGCGUUAUCCGGAUUUACUGGGUGUAAAGUGAGCGUAGGUGGUUCGACAAGUCAGAUGUGAAAGACCGGGGCUCAACACCGGGACUGCAUUUGGAACUGUCGUACUAGAGUGCAGGAGAGGUAAGUGGAAUUCCUAGUGUAGCGGUGAAAUGCGUAGAUAUUAGGAGGAACACCAGUGGCGAAGGCGGCUUACUGGACUGUAACUGACACUGAGGCUCGAAAGCGUGGGGAGCAAACAGG